GGUCAAGCUACAAAGGGCGCAUGGUGAAUGCCUUGGCAUCAGGAGCCGAUGAAGGACGCGAUAAGCUGCGAUAAGCUUCGGGUAGACGCACAUAGUCAGAGAUCCGAAGAUUUCCGAAUGAGG
This 123-nucleotide ribosomal RNA is filed under the name Clostridium botulinum. RNAcentral describes it as "partial 23S ribosomal RNA". It matches the Rfam family "Bacterial large subunit ribosomal RNA", at positions 1 to 123 of the family's 2925-position model. Lineage: Bacteria; Bacillati; Bacillota; Clostridia; Eubacteriales; Clostridiaceae. The record is from RNAcentral. RNAcentral also lists the same sequence under 1 other name.